This is a non-coding RNA of Python bivittatus (Burmese python), 844 nucleotides long. The record is from RefSeq and is a predicted model, not a curated record. NCBI's taxonomy places the organism in Eukaryota, Metazoa, Chordata, Lepidosauria, Squamata, Pythonidae.
UCCCCCUCUUUCUCUCUUCCACUGGAAGGGCUAAGCUCCCCUUAGCCAGUCAGCCUGCCCUUAUUUAAUUUGGAGUGUGAUUUUGCUAUUUUUAGCUUCUGGAUUCUCUCCAGUAAGAUUUAGAGGAGGCUUUUUUUCUCCUACUUUUUUAAUUCUGCAAAUGAUUUUGACCCAGCUUCCUUCCUCUUGGAACAUUUUUUUAAAUUUAUAUAAAUAAGAGGGGGCCUGUGUGCUUGUACGCUCUUUCUCUCUCUUUUUUUCCACUGCAAGUCUCUCUGCCUUCUGCUUCAGAUCUGCAAUUGCAACCAUCAGCAACCAGAAGGGGGGAUUAUUUUCAUUUCACCACAACACACAAGGAAAAACGUAUACAGAUUCGCGAAUAAGAGUAAUUAACAAGCAGAAUCUUCAAUCCAUAUGUCAAUCUUCCUAUUAGACUGCAAUUUCUGUCAUUCCUGGGCAAGCUGUCUGAAAUUAAAAUUGUACUCCAACACAUCUGGACAGCACCAGAUUGGGGAAACCUUGUUUAUACUCAUAACUCCAAAAAGAGAUUCACAACAUAAUAAAGUUAUCAUCUGUUAUCUUCUCAGAACACAUAUAGCAUAUAUAGGAGAUACUAUUUCUACACGUUCCAGUUUUAAGCAAUCACUCCUUCUAGACAUCAAGAGGAUCCAAAAGUAGAAAUAUAUUCCUACCAGUAGAUGAUGAAUUACAAGUUUGUUUAUUUACUAGAUUUAUAAGGCUGCCUGACUCAAUGUGAUUGUGAUGACACCAAUAGUUUUUCCUUUUACCAUCUGUAUUUUUGUUCUGAUGGAAAUUUGAAUUAAAAGCUUGGAGUGAUAAAAAU